GGCAAUAGCUCAGUUGGUAGAGCGCGACCUUGCCAAGGUCGAGGUCGCGGGUUCGAAUCCCGUUUGCC
Molecule: transfer RNA, 68 nt
Filed under: uncultured Prevotella sp.
Lineage: Bacteria; Pseudomonadati; Bacteroidota; Bacteroidia; Bacteroidales; Prevotellaceae
Rfam family: tRNA
About the family: Transfer RNA (tRNA) molecules are approximately 80 nucleotides in length. Their secondary structure includes four short double-helical elements and three loops (D, anti-codon, and T loops). Further hydrogen bonds mediate the characteristic L-shaped molecular structure. tRNAs have two regions of fundamental functional importance: the anti-codon, which is responsible for specific mRNA codon recognition, and the 3' end, to which the tRNAs corresponding amino acid is attached (by aminoacyl-tRNA synthetases). tRNAs cope with the degeneracy of the genetic code in two manners: having more than one tRNA (with a specific anti-codon) for a particular amino acid; and 'wobble' base-pairing, i.e. permitting non-standard base-pairing at the 3rd anti-codon position.
Source: RNAcentral